This 807-nucleotide ribosomal RNA is filed under the name Salmonella enterica subsp. enterica serovar Berta. RNAcentral describes it as "partial 23S ribosomal RNA". It matches the Rfam family "Bacterial large subunit ribosomal RNA", at positions 161 to 1005 of the family's 2925-position model. Lineage: Bacteria; Pseudomonadati; Pseudomonadota; Gammaproteobacteria; Enterobacterales; Enterobacteriaceae. The record is from RNAcentral. RNAcentral also lists the same sequence under 1 other name.
AAUCCAUAGGUUAAUGAGGCGAACCGGGGGAACUGAAACAUCUAAGUACCCCGAGGAAAAGAAAUCAACCGAGAUUCCCCCAGUAGCGGCGAGCGAACGGGGAGGAGCCCAGAGCCUGAAUCAGCAUGUGUGUUAGUGGAAGCGUCUGGAAAGGCGCGCGAUACAGGGUGACAGCCCCGUACACAAAAGCGCAUGUGCUGUGAGCUCGAUGAGUAGGGCGGGACACGUGGUAUCCUGUCUGAAUAUGGGGGGACCAUCCUCCAAGGCUAAAUACUCCUGACUGACCGAUAGUGAACCAGUACCGUGAGGGAAAGGCGAAAAGAACCCCGGCGAGGGGAGUGAAAAAGAACCUGAAACCGUGUACGUACAAGCAGUGGGAGCACAGGUUUACCUGUGUGACUGCGUACCUUUUGUAUAAUGGGUCAGCGACUUAUAUUCUGUAGCAAGGUUAACCGUAUAGGGGAGCCGGAGGGAAACCGAGUCUUAAUUGGGCGUUAAGUUGCAGGGUAUAGACCCGAAACCCGGUGAUCUAGCCAUGGGCAGGUUGAAGGUUGGGUAACACUAACUGGAGGACCGAACCGACUAAUGUUGAAAAAUUAGCGGAUGACCUGUGGCUGGGGGUGAAAGGCCAAUCAAACCGGGAGAUAGCUGGUUCUCCCCGAAAGCUAUUUAGGUAGCGCCUCGUGAAUUCAUCUCCGGGGGUAGAGCACUGUUUCGGCUAGGGGGCCAUCCCGGCUUACCAACCCGAUGCAAACUGCGAAUACCGGAGAAUGUUAUCACGGGAGACACACGGCGGGUGCUAACGUC